GCCAGAGUAGCUCAACGGCAGAGCGCUCGUCCGGUAUGCGAGAGGUCACGGGCUCGAUCCCUGGCUCACCUUUUCGGGCU
Molecule: non-coding RNA, 80 nt
Organism: Cymbomonas tetramitiformis
Lineage: Eukaryota; Viridiplantae; Chlorophyta; Pyramimonadophyceae; Pyramimonadales; Pyramimonadaceae
Source: the annotation of a GenBank genome assembly